UGGGUCUCAGGAUGCAGUGAGUAGCUGAUGUCAUGGUUCAGCAGGCUGUCAGUGGCCUGGGACUGUCCUGCAUGACUUUUGCUUCUGCUGUGUUAUCCAGCCUCAAUUCUGCCUACUUUUUAUCCUGCAUGGCUUGGAACUGGAAUCUGUCAUCACUGGCCUCUGCUUGGUGUUUGUUUCAGACACUUGCAUUGGAACUCAGCCCUGUAAGACAGAAAUCAAGUAUAUUGGGCUUAUGUGGCAAGGCUUCGGAAGCAGGGGAGCUGCAGGAGUGGCCUCUGAGAAGAGCUCAGAAGCUGCCCCAUCUUAGGGAAGAAAGAGCCAGCUCCAAAAGGGACCCACUGCUGGCCAUAGCUGAGCCAGUGAGCGAUGUUGGUUGUGCCUCUGGGAGAGCAGAUUUAAGAAAGGGAAAAGAAAACUGCUGCACAACAGCAGCUGGGAGAGCGAGGAGUGAGAACCAGUCCUGCAGCCCCCAAGGUCAGUGCAGCAGGAGGGCAGGAGGUGCUUUGAGGCACCAGAGCAGCAGUUCCCCUGCGGCCUGUGGAGAGGCCCCUGGUGGAGCAGGCUGUCCCCCUGCAGCCCAUGGGUCCCACACGGAGCAGAUCUCCACGCUGCAGCCUGUGGAGGAGCCCCCGGUGGAGCAGGUGGAUGUGGCCUGGAGGAGGCUGCGGCCCAUGGAGAGCCCCCGCAGGAGCAGGCCCCGGGCCGGAGCUGCAGCCCGUGGACAGGAGGCCAC
RNAcentral lists this long non-coding RNA (736 nucleotides) under Anser brachyrhynchus (Pink-footed goose). Its description in RNAcentral is "lncRNA (ENSABRG00000020404.1)". Lineage: Eukaryota; Metazoa; Chordata; Aves; Anseriformes; Anatidae. The record is from RNAcentral.